CUACAAUGGCGUAAACAAAGGGAAGCGAGACGGCGACGUUAAGCAAAUCCCAGAAAUAACGUCCCAGUUCGGAUUGUAGUCUGCAACCCGACUACAUGAAGCUGGAAUCGCUAGUAAUCGCGGAUCAGAAUGCCGCGGUGAAUACGUUCCCGGGUCUUGUACACACCGCCCGUCACACCAUGGGAGUCGGAAAUGCCCGAAGUCAGUGACCUAACCGAAAGGAAGGAGCUGCCGAAGGUGGAGCCGGUAACUGGGGUGAAGUCGUAACAAGGUACC
RNAcentral lists this ribosomal RNA (276 nucleotides) under uncultured bacterium. RNAcentral's name for it is "partial 16S ribosomal RNA". It matches the Rfam family "Bacterial small subunit ribosomal RNA", at positions 1225 to 1500 of the family's 1533-position model. The record is from RNAcentral.